RNAcentral lists this ribosomal RNA (501 nucleotides) under uncultured bacterium. Its description in RNAcentral is "partial 16S ribosomal RNA". It matches the Rfam family "Bacterial small subunit ribosomal RNA", at positions 29 to 523 of the family's 1533-position model. The record is from RNAcentral.
AUUGAACGCUGGCGGCAUGCCUUACACAUGCAAGUCGAACGGCAGCACGGGUGCUUGCACCUGGUGGCGAGUGGCGAACGGGUGCGUAAUACAUCGGAACGUACCUUAUCGCGGGGGAUAACGCAGCGAAAGUUGCGCUAAUACCGCAUACGCCCUGAGGGGGAAAGCGGGGGACCGUAAGGCCUCGCGCGAUUAGAGCGGCCGAUGUCUGAUUAGCUUGUUGGUGAGGUAAAAGCUCGCCAGGGCGAUGAUCAGUAGCUGGGCUGAGAGGACGAUCAGCCACACUGGGACUGAGACACGGCCCAGACUCCUACGGGAGGUAGCAGUGGGGAAUGUUGGACAAUGGGGGCAACCCUGAUCCAGCAAUGCCGCGUGAGUGAAGAAGGCCUUCGGGUUGUAAAGCUCUUUUGUCAGGGAAGAAACAGCAGCUCUAACACAGUCUGCGAAUGACGGUACCUGAAGAAUAAGCACCGGCUAACUACGUGCCAGCAGCCGCCGUAA